GGAGAGGAGUGGAGAGGUGUGGAGUGGAGUGGAGUGGAGAGGAGAGGAGAGAGAGGAGGCGAGAGGGAAGAGGUAGGUGCAGGCCAGAGGGGCUGAGACAGGCGGGUGCCCCCCCCCUCACCUGCUCUGACUCCCGUCCCCCCCCAGC
This 148-nucleotide microRNA precursor is filed under the name Sorex araneus (European shrew). Its description in RNAcentral is "miRNA (ENSSARG00000016873.1)". The record is from RNAcentral. Lineage: Eukaryota; Metazoa; Chordata; Mammalia; Eulipotyphla; Soricidae.